AUGUAGACCUCUUCUCUGAUUACCUACAGAGUAUCAAGGAUUAACCUCUUUCCUGAGAUCCCUUGGACCUGUCUAAGUUCGUGGCUCCUCCUCUGGGUUUCCUCCACCGCAACACAUCCAUGUUGGAGUUUGGCUCCUUGAGACAGGUGAUAGCAGCUCUUGAAGUACAAGUGACCUGCUGACCUGGGCCUCCUGAUCUGUAAGAGUGAGCUGGUCUGGCAGUGGCUGAAUAAGGGAUGACCGAGGCAGCAGACACGGAAGACCUAGUAUCAAGUGGAAAAAAAUCUGCAUAGCAGGUCUGCUAUAAAAAAAUCACCAAGUGGAGUUUUCAUCAGCCUCAACUCCCUGGUUUGUACAGGGCUACUUA
Long non-coding RNA from Corapipo altera (White-ruffed manakin), 367 nucleotides. RefSeq lists it as uncharacterized. The record is from RefSeq and is a predicted model, not a curated record. The transcript has 3 exons. NCBI's taxonomy places the organism in Eukaryota, Metazoa, Chordata, Aves, Passeriformes, Pipridae.